Long non-coding RNA from Sapajus apella (tufted capuchin), 897 nucleotides. RefSeq lists it as uncharacterized. The transcript is spliced from 3 exons. The record is from RefSeq and is a predicted model, not a curated record. NCBI's taxonomy places the organism in Eukaryota, Metazoa, Chordata, Mammalia, Primates, Cebidae.
ACCAUUGCACUCCAGCCUGGGCAUCAAGAGUGAAACUCUGUCAUGAAAAAAGAAAGAACAAAAACCAAAAACCCUCUUUGGAUAAACUGCUGUAAUCCAUGUGAAUUUUCUAAACUUACCUAUUGUAUCAGAAAUUUAGGGAUAUUUAUAGUGGGCUAGGGAAAACUUCUAAUAGUCUCCAAUCUAAUAAAAAUAAAAAUGUUAAUAUAAAAAUAAAGCUGCUAACAUUCUUUUCAUUCCUCCUUAUCUGCUUAUUCCCCUUUGCCUGCCAGGUCAGCGGCAGAUACUUGUAGAAGCAGUACGCAUGAAAGGAGAGAUCUCUAACCUUAGCACACUCCUUUGGAUCCUCUUCAUUGCAAAGCAUGAAGAUUCCCACAUCACUAGGGGAAUCUGAAUGCUUGGGAACAUAGCUGGAAAGAGGCCAAUACUAAAAGGACAGAGCUAGGCACUGACGAUUUGGGAACUUGAAGGCACAUUCAGCUUGAAACUUCUCACUUGCUUGAAGUAAUUUCUCAUCUUCCUGAGACUCAAACUUCAAAAAGAAACACUUCAUAGAGUUUAUAUAUGAUUACAAGAGAGAAAGUGCAUGUUCAGAUUCCACAGUCAACACACGCAUUAAAUGUAUGGUUUGACUCUCCAGGAACCAGCUGGGGCUCAAUUGUAAUAAACAGAGUGAUGUAAGAACCUUCACUUAAGUUUCGGACAGAAUCAAAACCCCGCUCAAGAAUCAUAUUUCGCUCCUUACUGUAGCCCAGAAGAACUGGGGGAAUAUCUAUUUUAAAUGUUCCAUCAAUCUGUGAAGAAAAUAUAAUUUGGUAAACAUCCUGAUGCUUUUUCCAACAGAAGUUCAGAGGCAAGUGUCAACUCCUCAUUGUCUAAUAAAUUGAAUCAAAACUG